Molecule: ribosomal RNA, 220 nt
Filed under: uncultured bacterium
Lineage: Bacteria
Description: partial 16S ribosomal RNA
Rfam family: Bacterial small subunit ribosomal RNA
Source: RNAcentral
UAAUGUAUGGGGAUCUGCCCGAUAGAGGGGGAUAACUACUGGAAACGGUGGCUAAUACCGCAUAAUGUCUACGGACCAAAGCAGGGGCUCUUCGGACCUUGCACUAUCGGAUGAACCCAUAUGGGAUUAGCUAGUAGGUGGGGUAAGGGCUCACCUAGGCGACGAUCUCUAGCUGGUCUGAGAGGAUGAUCAGCCACACUGGGACUGAGACACGGCCCAG